This 641-nucleotide ribosomal RNA is filed under the name uncultured bacterium. Its description in RNAcentral is "bacterial SSU rRNA". It matches the Rfam family "Bacterial small subunit ribosomal RNA", at positions 140 to 799 of the family's 1533-position model. The record is from RNAcentral.
GGGAUAACAGUUAGAAAUGACUGCUAAUACCGCAUAAGACCGCGGAACCGCAUGGUUCUGAGGUAAAAACUCCGGUGGUGUAAGAUGGGCCCGCGUCUGAUUAGGUAGUUGGUGAGGUAACGGCUCACCAAGCCGACGAUCAGUAGCCGACCUGAGAGGGUGACCGGCCACAUUGGGACUGAGACACGGCCCAUACUCCUACGGGAGGCAGCAGUGGGGAAUAUUGCACAAUGGGGGAAACCCUGAUGCAGCGACGCCGCGUGAGCGAUGAAGUAUUUCGGUAUGUAAAGCUCUAUCAGCAGGGAAGAAAAUGACGGUACCUGACUAAGAAGCCCCGGCUAACUACGUGCCAGCAGCCGCGGUAAUACGUAGGGGGCAAGCGUUAUCCGGAUUUACUGGGUGUAAAGGGAGCGUAGACGGUCCUGCAAGCCAGAUGUGAAAGCUCGGGGCUCAACCCCGGGACUGCAUUUGGAACUGUAAGGCUAGAGUGUCGGAGAGGCAGGCGGAAUUCCUAGUGUAGCGGUGAAAUGCGUAGAUAUUAGGAGGAACACCAGUGGCGAAGGCGGCCUGCUGGACGAUGACUGACGUUGAGGCUCGAAAGCGUGUGGAGCAAACAGGAUUAGAUACCCUGGUAGUCCACG